This is a non-coding RNA of Maylandia zebra (zebra mbuna), 270 nucleotides long. The record is from RefSeq and is a predicted model, not a curated record. Lineage: Eukaryota; Metazoa; Chordata; Actinopteri; Cichliformes; Cichlidae.
AGAAACCCGUGUAUCAGUUGUCUUGCGUUGUUGCAACCUCUCUGUUUUCUGGGAAGUUUAAAUGUGUCAGCAAGAUGUUGUUUCCGGCUGAGGACAUUUGGUUGUGCCCACUGAACUCUGGUGCACACUGGAUACUUGUGGUUGUCAAAAUCUCCUCACAAUCUGUACUGCUGUUAGACCCUCUUGGAAAUGAAGGUUGUUAUGAAAGGAAAGUUAUGCGUAACUGGAGGUAUUCAUCAUUCAUUAAUUAUCUGUUUUAGGUUGUUUGGU